UAGGGAAUAUUGGACAAUGGGUGCGAGCCUGAUCCAGCCAUGCCGCGUGCAGGAAGAAAGCCUUCUGGGUUGUAAACUGCUUUUCUCUGGGGAUAAAAGGCCCAUGCGUGGGACAUUGAAGGUACCAGAGGAAUAAGCCACGGCUAACUACGUGCCAGCAGCCGCGGUAAUACGUAGGUGGCAAGCGUUGUCCGGAUUUAUUGGGUUUAAAGGGUGCGUAGGCGGCUUUGUAAGUCAGUUGUGAAAUACGGCAGCUCAGCUGUCGAGGUGCAAUUGAUACUGCAAAGCUUGAGUACUGAUGAGGUAGGCGGAAUGGACGGUGUAGCGGUGAAAUGCUUAGAGAUCGUCCAGAACACCGAUAGCGAAGGCAGCUUACUAAGGAGUAACUGACGCUGAGGCACGAAAGUGUGGGGAUCAAACAGGAUUAGAUACCCUGGUAGUCCACACUGUAAACGAUGAUUACUCGAUGUGUGCGAUAUACGGCACGCGUCUUAGCAAAAGCGAUAAGUAAUCCACCUGGGGAGUACGCCGGCAACGGUG
This 540-nucleotide ribosomal RNA is filed under the name uncultured bacterium. RNAcentral's name for it is "bacterial SSU rRNA". It matches the Rfam family "Bacterial small subunit ribosomal RNA", at positions 355 to 896 of the family's 1533-position model. The record is from RNAcentral.